UACAGAGGGUGCAAGCGUUAAUCGGAAUUACUGGGCGUAAAGCGUGCGUAGACGGUUAUGUAAGUCGGGUGUGAAAGCCCCGGGCUCAACCUGGGAAUGCCAUUCGAGACUGCAUAGCUAGGGUGCGGAAGAGGGAAGCGGAAUUUCCGGUGUAGCGGUGAAAUGCGUAGAUAUCGGAAGGAACACCAGUGGCGAAAGCGGUUCUCUGGGCCUUACCUGACGCUGAGGAGCGAAAGCGUGGGGAGCGAACAGG
This 253-nucleotide ribosomal RNA is filed under the name uncultured bacterium. RNAcentral's name for it is "partial 16S ribosomal RNA". It matches the Rfam family "Bacterial small subunit ribosomal RNA", at positions 524 to 776 of the family's 1533-position model. The record is from RNAcentral.